Molecule: long non-coding RNA, 1233 nt
Filed under: Coffea arabica (coffee)
Lineage: Eukaryota; Viridiplantae; Streptophyta; Magnoliopsida; Gentianales; Rubiaceae
Description: long non-coding RNA (CARA_LNC006693)
Source: RNAcentral
ACAAUCAAGUUCAACCAGCGCAGAUAAUUCAAGCUGCUCAAGCUUUACUUUAGAUGAAUAUUUUGAUUCACAUGCCCUGUUGCAGGAGUUGGAGGAUAAGAAUAAUCAAGGGCUACGAGAAACAGGUACAAGUUCAAAAUUCAGUGUCACUGCAUCUGUUCCACCAAGUGAAGUGGUUAUGCUGCCAGCCACUUUAGGUAUGUUUAUGUCAUUCUUCAACGAACAUUUUAUAUCCUCAGAUGAAUACUCUUUCUUGAAUUCUUGCAAGUUCUAACAACAUGAGUAGAGUACAUGAAUAAUUAGUAAGGCCAAGCGUGGUUGUACUUUUGGACUGGUAAUCACCUUGUGUGUCAUCAUAUGGAGACCAGAUUACAAGCAAAAAUAGAAAUGUAAAAUGACACGUGAGAGUUUACCUAAAGUAAGUAUAACUUCUUGAAAGUUACUUAGUUUCCAAGGGAAACAUCUUAAAUUUGGCUCUUAGGUUAUGAUGGUGAAAUAUUAAAUUGGGCUAUAAUUCGAUUAGGUUCUACAGAAGCAGAUAUUCUGAAAAAGAAUUCAACAGACAUAAUACACACUCAUUGAUCAAAUGACUUGUUUAUUCUUGGAGCUCUUCAUCAUGGCGUUUCGAGUGGUUUAGGAGUUCAUUAGCCAUUCAAAUAGUCAUUGACAUUAAAUCUGGAGGUAUAUCUGGCGUCAAAAUCUGCCAAAUGUGUCUUUUUUGAGUUGAAACCAACAAGACAGGUCACUUGGUUGUGCUUAUAUUUAGGAACAUGCAUCUGGUGAACAUCUUAAUGGUGUCGCUUCCUGAUUCUUAUUUUUGAUCAUUGGUUAAUCCUAGGUUCUCUAGUUUGUGCUAGUGGAAGACAACCAUCUGUUGGAUGCACGGCACCCUCAUCAGUCCUCAAGACACAGAAUGUUGGUGAAAGAAUUCCAGAUCACACUGCUAAAAAGCCAAGGACCGAGAAAAAGGAAGAAGAUUCAGCAGGGUCCCUAUGCCCGGCACCCCCUUUGGGAAAUGCUGGCAAAUCCACAUCAAAAGGAAAAGAGAAGGCUGCUAGUGUCAAUACCAAAAGGCUGAAAAAGUACAUGUGUUUCAUGCCAUUCUAGGCUGUAAUUGCAUACUGCGUAUAACCUCUGUGUCAUUAGGUGACUGCAAUCAGUGACUAGGAAAAAUACCAACCCAUCUGGGCUCUUGACUGCGUUCUGUUAUGUAAUCUGCAUUCUUGAUCUGGU